CCUACGGGUGGCAGCAGUGGGGAAUAUUGCGCAAUGGGCGCAAGCCUGACGCAGCAACGCCGCGUGAAGGAAGAAGGUUUUCGGGUUGUAAACUCCUUUUAUGAGGGAAGAGAAUAAGACGGUAUCACUUGAAUACGCCACGGCUAACUACGCGACAGCAGCCGCGGUAAUACGUAGGUGGCAAGCGUUGUCCGGAUUUACUGGGUGUAAAGGGCGUGCAGCCGGGAAGACAAGUCAGAUGUGAAAUCCCGUGGCUCAACCGCAGAACUGCAUUUGAAACUGGUUUUCUUGAGUACCGGAGAGGUCAGCGGAAUUCCUUGUGUAGCGGUGAAAUGCGGAGAUAUAAGGAAGAACACCAGUGGCGAAAGCGGAUGUCUGGACGGCAACUGACGGUGAGGCGCGAAAGCGUGGGGAGCAAACAGGAUUAGAUACCCCAGUAGUC
RNAcentral lists this ribosomal RNA (442 nucleotides) under uncultured bacterium. RNAcentral's name for it is "partial 16S ribosomal RNA". It matches the Rfam family "Bacterial small subunit ribosomal RNA", at positions 338 to 795 of the family's 1533-position model. The record is from RNAcentral.